Paramuricea clavata is the source of this 332-nucleotide non-coding RNA. The record is from the annotation of a GenBank genome assembly. NCBI's taxonomy places the organism in Eukaryota, Metazoa, Cnidaria, Anthozoa, Malacalcyonacea, Plexauridae.
CUACAAGCAUUACACUGCAAGUAUUUGCAACGACAAGUAUUUACUACUACAAGAUAUAUGUACUAUACUUCAUCAUGCAUACUCUAUCUAGCAUUUACUCUGGUCAUAGUCAUAAAAACGGUCGUUGUAGCCAGCUCUUUUGAUGCAUUUUGCAGCCGCAGCGUCACAAUCACACAAUUGUUUGCGGCAUUUCACAUUCUCGUGAAUACCAUCAUACCAACCGUACGCGCUUAGUGGAGCUAAAUUAGACAGAAACAUUUGAUUAAAAUAAAUAGCAAGAAAUUCAAUCUACAAUAUUAUUAAUGCCAUUGCAUUGGUGGUCCGGUAUAGAG